GUGGGGAAUAUUGCGCAAUGGGGGAAACCCUGACGCAGCAAUACCGCGUGAGUGAAGAAGGUUUUCGGAUCGUAAAACUCUUUUAUUGGGGAAGAAGAAGUGACGGUACCCAAUGAAGAAGUCCCGGCUAACUACGUGCCAGCAGCCGCGGUAAUACGUAGGGGACAAGCGUUGUCCGGAAUCACUGGGCGUAAAGGGCGCGUAGGCGGUUUUAUAAGUCAGAUGUGAAAGGUACCGGCUCAACCGGUGACGUGCAUUUGAAACUGUAAGACUUAAGUACUGGAGAGGCAAGUGGAAUUCCUAGUGUAGCGGUGAAAUGCGUAGAUAUUAGGAGGAACACCGGUGGCGAAGGCGGCUUGCUGGACAGAUACUGACGCUGAGGUGCGAAAGCGUGGGGAGCGAACAGGAUUAGAAACCCCGGUAGUCC
Molecule: ribosomal RNA, 427 nt
Filed under: uncultured bacterium
Lineage: Bacteria
Description: partial 16S ribosomal RNA
Rfam family: Bacterial small subunit ribosomal RNA
Source: RNAcentral